UGUGAAGUCAUGUGUAGAAACCA
This 23-nucleotide non-coding RNA is filed under the name Arabidopsis thaliana (thale cress). Lineage: Eukaryota; Viridiplantae; Streptophyta; Magnoliopsida; Brassicales; Brassicaceae. The record is from RNAcentral.